UACGAAGGGGGCUAGCGUUGUUCGGAAUUACUGGGCGUAAAGCGCACGUAGGCGGAUAUUUAAGUCAGGGGUGAAAUCCCGGGGCUCAACCCCGGAACGGCCUUUGAUACUGGAUGUCUUGAGUCCGGAAGAGGUGAGUGGAAUUGCGAGUGUAGAGGUGAAAUUCGUAGAUAUUCGCAGGAACACCAGUGGCGAAGGCGGCUCACUGGUCCGGAACUGACGCUGAGGUGCGAAAGCGUGGGGAGCAAACAGG
This 253-nucleotide ribosomal RNA is filed under the name uncultured bacterium. RNAcentral's name for it is "partial 16S ribosomal RNA". It matches the Rfam family "Bacterial small subunit ribosomal RNA", at positions 524 to 776 of the family's 1533-position model. The record is from RNAcentral.